Molecule: long non-coding RNA, 1143 nt
Organism: Phycodurus eques (leafy seadragon)
Lineage: Eukaryota; Metazoa; Chordata; Actinopteri; Syngnathiformes; Syngnathidae
Exons: 3
Source: RefSeq, a predicted model, not a curated record
CGACACAUGCACGCUGGUGCUGAUGAUGCCGGAGAUGGAGCGCGUGCCAUCUCCCCCUCCUUCAAUUUGUGGGGAGGGGGGAGGAGGAGGAUGCGAGGAUGUGAUUUAAACAAAAAACAAAAAAAAAAGAGGGAGAAAAUAAAUGGACGAGGCCGUUGGGACGUCACUCCAUGCGCCGCUCGUGGAUGCUCUCAUCUGGGAUGCCAGCGGAGGGACCACCGGAUCCUCAAGCAUCAUGCAGGAACUUGGAAUGAUUAGGCGCCUCAACCUAAUAGGGUGUUUGGACACCUUUUCCUGUACUACGAAAGCUGUUUAAAAGUGGGAAAACGACAACAUUCUGACAGAUGGGAGACAGGAUGGACAAUGUUAAACGCUUUCAUAAUAUGUGUUAUAUAUCUUGUUUUUUUUUUUAAAUUAAUAUUUAAAGCAUUCACAUUGUACACACCCAUACACACUAAAAUUAUUGUAUUACCAUAAUUACUUGUAUUCAUUAAUUACACGAUUUAGUUUAAACUAAUUAGAAUAAGAGUGUAAUUGUAGAUUUGGGAGGGCAAAUGCCAAAUUUUAUAAAAAAAAAAAUAUUUUCUACAACACUGGUGAUUUCAUGAUUUGAUUUGAACAAUCAAAUGUUUGACAAUCUGUGUGCAUUGUGGAGUGUGUGCAUAUAUAUAUAUAUAUAUAUAUAUAUAAUGUCAUAACUAACCACUAUCAUAUAAUAUCAUAAAUGUGCAUCUUGUGAUGCUAUUUAAAUCUGGACAGAAUGCAGUGCUUAAAAUCAUUUUGUAAUUGGUAUAAGCGAUGCAGUAAGAAAACACUAGGUAGUUUUUGCACUAUGAAUUCUUUGCACAUACAAACUUUUGUUGGCUUUGCACGUUAACGGCUUGAUACGGGUUCAGAAAGCUAAAUUAUUGUAGAGUAUAUGAGCAGAUGUGCAAUUUUAACAUAUUAUUUAUUUGACUUCCAUGAGAUUCUAAAUGUCUUAUGUUGUGCUGUGAGUAUGUAAUAAUACUAUUUGGUGGGAUUUUAUUUUCAAAAAUGCACGAUGACCGACUGUUGCACAUGUCCAGCGCUCUAUUUGCACAUAAAUUUGUACUAAGCAAUUUUUGCUACUAUUGUUGAUACACUCAAUAAAAAAAAACAUGU